CAUAUUUAUACCUCUGUGAUUAUGGUAUAUUUCCUUAAUUAUCUGAAAUGUCUGCUAGCAAACAUUACGCUAGCGUAGAAACAAAACUAUAGCAUAAUUGAUUUGAGCUCUUAUUAAUGAAAGUUUGGGCUUUUAAUGACAUCUUAUGCCUAAAGGAGCAGUUUUGAUAGCUUUGUAAAAACAAAAGUCUUGAACUCUGUAAAGACGCUAAAACCAUUUUUUAAUAUUAUUGUUUUUUACUAGCCGUUGAGAGUUACCAUGGCAACCGCGGACACAUCAGCUGCUAGAGAGGAGAGGACGCGUCUGACUCUUUCUCUGUUUCUAGUCAUUUAUACCAAAGAAAAGUUCAACAACUGCGACAGAUCGUUUGUUUAUUUCUAAUAAGGAGCUGGAGGCCGUGGAGAAGCAGAUCCGUGACCUCGUGGAGAAGCAGGCUCAGCUGAGAGAGCGGAGAGCCGUGAUGGAAACAUUCAGGGGUUGAUGCUCAUAAGUCCGGUGUAAGUAUACAGCACGCUGCUAACUCUCCCACCACCUCUACUCUGUGUGGUUCUCUGCACAGGCCCGGUGUACCCAGGACACAAUCUUCCCAGAUGUCCUUCACCCCGUGCCACAGCGUAAGACAUGAGCCAGGUCCUGGGCGACAACCUCUCUCCCCCCGCCGCCUCCUGUCUUCAGGAACUCCACUGGAAACCGAUUUGCUCCACUUCACGAGACAGAACACGACUCUGUGUUCAUCAGAGACUCCAUUAUCCGGCACGUUCGUGCUAUGUUAGCUGAAGGUAAUGUGCACACUCACUGUUUCCCUGGUGCUCGUGUUCUUGAUAUUUCUGCGCAGAUACCCGUGAUCCUGAAGGGUGACGAGAGCAUCGGAGCGGUCGUGCUUCACACCGGGGUUAACGAUACCAAGCUGCGGCAGACGCAGACACUAAAGAGGGACUUCAGGAGCCUGAUCGAGACGGUGCGCAGCAUAUCGCCUGCACGAUGAUCAUCAUCUCAGCACCUCUUCUCAUGUAUAGAUGAGGACACGAAAGGCUUUUUCGCGCUGAUGGCCUGCACCCCAGCAGA
This is a long non-coding RNA of Cyprinus carpio (common carp), 1065 nucleotides long. RefSeq lists it as uncharacterized. Lineage: Eukaryota; Metazoa; Chordata; Actinopteri; Cypriniformes; Cyprinidae. The record is from RefSeq and is a predicted model, not a curated record. The transcript has 3 exons.